Humulus lupulus (European hop) is the source of this 482-nucleotide long non-coding RNA. RefSeq lists it as uncharacterized. Lineage: Eukaryota; Viridiplantae; Streptophyta; Magnoliopsida; Rosales; Cannabaceae. The transcript is spliced from 4 exons. The record is from RefSeq and is a predicted model, not a curated record.
AGAGAGAGAGAGAGAGGCUGCCAAUUUCUAGAGAGAGAAGGAGGAGGAAAAAUGUGAAGAAGGAGUGAAAGAAAAAGGAGAAGAGGAAGAAGGGCAUUCGAAGUCUCUAAGGUUCUAAUCUCACAAGAGCAUAGAGAUUGUGGUUAAGGGUUUCGGCCUACUAGGGUGUUGGAGGCUAGCAAACAAGAGGGUGACCAUAAUUAUUUUUGAGUUCUUUGAUUUGUAUCAAAGAAGGUAGCAAAUAGGGUUUCUCAUUGGCACGCGUGGUGAUGCGGGGAGUUCCAACGUCAGGGUGUGUAUGGCGUGGGGUUAUCCUAUGGGUGAACAAAUGAUCAGCUUAAAACGCCAAAAUUUAUUGGACGAUGUUAUGUUUUUAUUUUGAUUUCCAAACUUUUCAGUGGGACUUGAACUAUAUUUAUUUUUAAAACAUUGCACGAGAACUUUUAUUUUAUUUUAAACUAUUGGGCCCAACUUACAUGUUU